This 451-nucleotide ribosomal RNA is filed under the name uncultured bacterium. RNAcentral's name for it is "partial 16S ribosomal RNA". It matches the Rfam family "Bacterial small subunit ribosomal RNA", at positions 341 to 792 of the family's 1533-position model. The record is from RNAcentral.
ACGGGAGGCAGCAGUAGGGAAUAUUGCACAAUGGGGGAAACCCUGAUGCAGCAACGCCACGUGUGGGAAGAAGCAUUUCGGUGUGUAAACCACUGUCGUGAGGGAAUAAUGCUUGGCCUCGGCCAAGUUGAAUGUACCUCGAAAGGAAGCACCGGCAAACUACGUGCCAGCAGCCGCGGUAAUACGUAGGGGGCAAGCGUUGUCCGGAAUGAUUGGGCGUAAAGGGCGCGUAGGUGGCCUGUUAAGUCUGGAGUGAAAGUCCUGCUUUUAAGGUGGGAAUUGCUUUGGAUACUGAUGGGCUUGAGUGCAGGAGAGGUAAGUGGAAUUCCCAGUGUAGCGGUGAAAUGCGUAGAGAUUGGGAGGAACACCAGUGGCGAAGGCGACUUACUGGACUGUAACUGACGCUGAGGCGCGAAAGUGUGGGGAGCAAACAGGAUUAGAUACCCUGGUA